UUGUGGAAUCUGAUAGUUGUGGGAAUCAGAAUUGAAACCGAUCAAAAAAAAAAGUAGGUGUCGUGAAUUCAGAUAUUAAUGAUUUGAUAUUCGAAACAAAAUUUUUAUCGGUUUUGAGUGGCACGGAAACAAAUUUUAUCGGUUUUGUUAUCAGAAACAAAGCAAGAAGAUAUUCGCACACAGAUUUGAAAUACGAAAAUCCCACUGCAAUUUGCAUCCACUCUACGGUACAUAAAAUCGAUCAAGCCUGAUGGAAAUCAGCUUUGCGCCCAUCUAGCCUUGAGCGUCCACUCUAUGGCCACCCUAAGGAUUAGAUAUUCCGCUAAUUUCAGUGAAGUCCGCUUUAAAACAGCUACAGCCAUGGACAUAUAAAUAGCACAAAUCCGAAUCCCAUAUGACUUAUAUUUUCCAUAAUCGUAAAGUUGCUGAACAAUCAAAAUGUGUUUUCGCGUGUUUUUAAUUAUUAUUUCGUCGAUAUUUCAUUAACAUGGAAUAGGAAAACAUUGCACACAAAAAGGAUAAAAGCAAAAAAAAAAUGAAAAGCUCCUGCCGAAAUAAAAAAGGCGCAUCUUCUGUCA
Bactrocera dorsalis (oriental fruit fly) is the source of this 578-nucleotide long non-coding RNA. RefSeq lists it as uncharacterized. The record is from RefSeq and is a predicted model, not a curated record. The transcript has 3 exons. NCBI's taxonomy places the organism in Eukaryota, Metazoa, Arthropoda, Insecta, Diptera, Tephritidae.